RNAcentral lists this ribosomal RNA (253 nucleotides) under uncultured bacterium. RNAcentral's name for it is "partial 16S ribosomal RNA". It matches the Rfam family "Bacterial small subunit ribosomal RNA", at positions 524 to 776 of the family's 1533-position model. The record is from RNAcentral.
UACGUAGGGCGCAAGCGUUGUCCGGAAUUAUUGGGCGUAAAGAGCUCGUAGGCGGCCUGUUGCGUCCGCUGUGAAAUCCCGGGGCUUAACCCCGGGCGUGCAGUGGAUACGGGCAGGCUGGAGGCAGGCAGGGGAGAACGGAAUUCCUGGUGUAGCGGUGAAAUGCGCAGAUAUCAGGAGGAACACCGGUGGCGAAGGCGGGUCUCUGGGCAGUAACUGACGCUGAGGAGCGAAAGCGUGGGGAGCGAACAGG